ACUGCGAAUGGCUCAUUAAAUCAGUUAUAGUUUAUUUGAUGGUACCUUACUACUCGGAUAACCGUAGUAAUUCUAGAGCUAAUACGUGCGCACAUCCCGACUCU
RNAcentral lists this ribosomal RNA (104 nucleotides) under uncultured eukaryote. RNAcentral's name for it is "partial 18S ribosomal RNA". It matches the Rfam family "Eukaryotic small subunit ribosomal RNA", at positions 86 to 189 of the family's 1831-position model. The record is from RNAcentral.